Long non-coding RNA from Limulus polyphemus (Atlantic horseshoe crab), 446 nucleotides. RefSeq lists it as uncharacterized. NCBI's taxonomy places the organism in Eukaryota, Metazoa, Arthropoda, Merostomata, Xiphosura, Limulidae. The record is from RefSeq and is a predicted model, not a curated record. The transcript is spliced from 3 exons.
GAGCUAACUCUUAGUAGGGUUCGUAAUGAGUGGUUACGUUACAGGGUUGCGUAUUUUGAACACCUAAUUUACUUAACCUUUUACAAUAUUAAUAUCCAUAUGUCAAUGCUAAGAGAAUCUUGUGUUAGUUUCAUAAUGCAAACAUACUUAAAUUUAAUGUGCUCUAGCAAGAAGUUUCACUGCAAGGUUUGAUAAGAAUAUAAAGGUGAAGCUUCUAUAUAGUCAUGGAAGUAUUAAAGAUGAAGAUUGAACCCUUUUCUGAUGAGGAAAAGGAUGUUUUGUCAAAUAUCAAAUUGAUGAAAAAUGAAGAUGAAACUUUAACGAUAACUAGUACUACAGGAAAAGUUGACUCCUUGGAAAAAAGUUCCAAACAAAUCAUUUUGAAGUUUGGUAUAGCAAAAGAGGAGCAAGAAGAAAAAUGUGAUGGGUCAUCAAUGAAAAAUGAG